RNAcentral lists this ribosomal RNA (419 nucleotides) under Bacteroidota bacterium. Its description in RNAcentral is "Bacteroidetes bacterium partial 16S ribosomal RNA". It matches the Rfam family "Bacterial small subunit ribosomal RNA", at positions 355 to 776 of the family's 1533-position model. The record is from RNAcentral. Lineage: Bacteria; Pseudomonadati; Bacteroidota.
UGGGGGAUAUUGCACAAUGGGCGAAAGCCUGAUGCAGCGACGCCUCGUGGGGGAUGAAGGCCUUCGGGUUGUAAACUUCUUUUGCUCUGAACAAGGCAUGCCAAUGGGUGUGUUGAGUGUAGGGGUUGAUUAGCGCCGGCUAACUACGUGCCAGCAGCCGCGGUAAUACGUAGGGCGCGAGCGUUGUCCGGAAUUAUUGGGCGUAAAGCGAGCGCAGGCGGUCAAUUAAGUCUGAUGUGAAAGCCCCCGGCUCAACCGGGGAGGGUCAUUGGAAACUGGUUGACUUGAGUGCAGAAGAGGAGAGUGGAAUUCCAUGUGUAGCGGUGAAAUGCGUAGAUAUAUGGAGGAACACCGGUGGCGAAAGCGGCUCUCUGGUCUGUAACUGACGCUGAGGCUCGAAAGCGUGGGGAGCGAACAGG